GAGGAGGAGGGGGAGGAAUAUUCAGUGAUAGUCUGCUCUAGGUGGCAUAAUUGAUUGAAGAGGAAGGAAAAGAAGAAGAACAACAACAACAAGAACAGCAAGAACAACAACAAUACGACGACUGGAGCAAUGACGACGAAGAAGAAAAAGAAAAUGGAUCUCAAGCAACAGGACAAGAACUACAUCUCGCUGCCACUGAGAAGAUGCCUCUUACUGCCACACCCGAUGAUGAGCGCGUGACGGCUGUUUUGCACCCAAUCUCGUCGGAGGACAUUUACACAGACGUGUGGUUUUCACCAAGCAGACGAGGUUGUGAGUGCGUGCCAUCAUCGAUACCAAAAUUCUUGUUGAAACGAUGCACUAUUUCAAUGUGAAACUGCCUCACUGAAAUCUCUAUGUUCUUCAAUGCAGAGUAAUGUUUUUCAUUGAGUAAAUUUUAAUACCUCAGUACAGCAUUGGUCGAAAUAGUUGAUGAUGAUUAGAUUUCUGUGGUGACAGAGGUAGAAAAUGUGUUACUCGUGGCAGAGGUAGUGGCAGUGGCAGCUAGUAGAUGUUUUUAUAUCACGGUUUUGUUUAUUUGUGAUAACAAUAACAAUAAGCCAAUUUCGAAUUUCGACUGGUUCUGCUAUAGACAUUUCCAUUCUUAAAAGUAAUAUGAUUUUCCACAUCGAGUACCUCGCGUACUAUUGUUUUUAUCAAAAAUGAUGUUAGUUGCAAAAAAUGGCAGAGAUUAAUUUAUUACAAGGUGAUAUCUUCCAUGUCAUCUAUAAGCAGCAUGCCCAUUAGCCAAAUUAUCCUACAAUGCAUUGUGCUCUCCAAAAUUCGAAAUUGGCUUAUUUGGUUUAUUCACAUGAAAAGGAAUCAAUUUACUAACUUCCAAAGUGUUUUUCGUAUUCUAAAUUGUCUUAGGAACUUGCUAUUGAACUUCCCAUUUAAUUUACUAGCAUAUAAAUCAAUAUAAUAAUGCAAACCCCAGUUCAUACAGUUUAAAUUCUGCCCCCAUGAUUCAUAAGUCCAUGUAAAUUUUUAAAGUUAAAAUUUGCAGCAAACCUCGCCACUAGAUGGCAGGAUUUGACCAUUAGAAAGUAAAUUGAUUCCUUUUUCAUGUGACUGCAUUUUGUAUUGCAUUUGUAAAUGUAUGUAAAUGCAAAGUAAUUUGAUAGGAGAUAGCUUUUCAGAUGAACGAUCGUGCGCGUGUUCGUGAGCGUGAUCGUGAGAGUAAAAGUGGGGCA
Long non-coding RNA from Priapulus caudatus, 1232 nucleotides. RefSeq lists it as uncharacterized. Lineage: Eukaryota; Metazoa; Priapulida; Priapulimorpha; Priapulimorphida; Priapulidae. The record is from RefSeq and is a predicted model, not a curated record. The transcript is spliced from 3 exons.